AUAAUGUGUUGAGGGCACUUCCGUAAUAAUUCUUUGUACCUUUCCCAUGCCUUAUACAAUGACUCAUCAUCCAUUUGUUGGAAAGCAGUGAUCUCGUUCCUCAACUU
Gossypium raimondii (Peruvian cotton) is the source of this 107-nucleotide small nucleolar RNA. It matches the Rfam family "Plant small nucleolar RNA R71". From Rfam's summary of the family: R71 is a member of the C/D box family of snoRNAs containing the C (UGAUGA) and D (CUGA) box motifs. Lineage: Eukaryota; Viridiplantae; Streptophyta; Magnoliopsida; Malvales; Malvaceae. The record is from Rfam.